AGAAUCAUAGAAUAGGGUUGGAAAGGACCUUAAGAUCAUCUAGUUCCAACCCCCCUGCCAUGGGCAGGGACACCUUACACUAAACCAUGUUACCCAAGGCUCUGUCCAACCUGGCCUUGAACACUACCAGGGAUGGAGCAUUCACAACCUCCCUGGGUAACCCAUUCCAGUGCCUCACCACCCUCACAGUAAAGAACUUCUUCCUUAUAUCCAAUCUAAACCUCCCCUCUUUAAGUUUGAACCCGUUACCCCUUGUCCUAUCACUACAGUCUCUAAUGAAGAGUCCCUCCCCAGCAUCCCUAUAGGCCCCCUUCAGAUACUGGAAGGCUGCUAUGAGGUCUCCACGCAGCCUUCUCUUCUCCAGGCUGAACAGCCCCAACUUUCUCAGCCUGUCUUCAUACGGGAGGUGCUCCAGUCCCCUGAUCAUCCUCGUGGCCCUUCUCUGGACUUGUUCCAACAGUUCCAUGUCCUUUUUAUGUUGAGGACACCAGAACUGCACACAAUACUCCAAGUGAGGUCUUGUCAAUGAGUUCUUCCUCCUUCUACCUACUGCCUCUUAUUAAAGCAAUAUGAAUUAAGCAGGAAAUACUAAUUGAAUGAAAACAGAUGUGUACACUUCACAAAUUGCCCGCGAACCAUGUUUCAAAUAGGGCUUGGGUUCUCUGCAGGUUCGGUCUUCGGUCUACCCUGGAUCCAGUUGAUUUCACUUGUAUUGGACUAGUGAAACUUUUGUCAGUCUUCAAAUUGCUAAACUUGAAAUAUAAGAAAAUCUGAAAAUUAGCAUGGCAAUUCCUAUCCUGUUUCUUCUUAAUUUAAGCAAAGGCUCUGUCAUUCAGACUUUUUUCAUCUACCACUGUUAACCAAAGAUAACAAGUAAGAUGAAGAAGGAGGCAACAGCUGGAAAAGAAAAGCUGCAAUAGCCCAACUAAUUGUGUCUCUGACAAGCAGUGCGCCACUGCUGUCUCCCCUUCCUCUCUUCCUCCUCAAGCUUUUCUGUUUUCUGCCUGAACAGUUACUCUUGCUGUAAGACAGGAAAGUUCCACUAGUUCUUCAAGUCAAGACUCUUCAUUUUUUCUUCAACUACAUCAUGUGAUUAUGAAGUGCUAUAAAUAUCAAAUAAAUAUUUUCAGGGGAAAAAAUGUUUAAAAAAUCAGAAAUAGAAGGAGAGAAAAGAGAUAAGUGGGGUUUAGCAGCUAAGUAUGCAAAUAUUUAAACAGCUGUCACGCAAAACUUGGUCCUUUUCAAACAAAUAGGGUGCAAUGCCAGCUAUAUUUCCUUCUUCCUUCUGGACUUCAUUCAUCCAUCCACAUAUUUUUUGUUAAUAGCUGAGUACAUGCUCUCUCUCAGCUGAGAAUUCCUAUUGUUCAUUUACGUGGCACCCAGAAGAGGUCCCUGCUCUUUGACCAAGGCACUGUAUUUCAAAUUAAUAAAAUCUUGAUGUUAAAUUGCUUUUCCAAGAUACUACCACUCAGGGUCACAUAAAACUGUAUCAAAGGUAAAACCUAUGGCCUCAGUUCUAAUAACUAGAGAACAAAAUAAUUUUCCACUAAAAUCUCUCUUCUCUCUUUAAUUCUAAUUUAAGAUUUGCCAUCUUACCUUUCAUCAUACCAAUCCUUUUCCUAAGCCGCUAACAUUUGGUUCCAGAAGGCACUUGGUACAAGUUAAACAUGAUAUUAAAAGAGGGUUCUUAACUAUAAUCUCUGCUGUAGCAAUAGAAAUGACAAAAAAAGCCACCCAGCUUUGAUUUUUAUUCUAUGAUUCUAAGUAAGCCACAGGGGCAGGCUCUGCAAUACAGAAACAUACGCUACAUGGGAGGGAAUUAUUUCAGAUGAUUAGAAACCAUUCAGUGUAGAAUUUGGCUGUGCAGCACCUCUGCUGUUUAAUAUUCCACAUCAACUGUUUCUGUUUAGCAUCUAAAUGA
Long non-coding RNA from Pezoporus flaviventris, 1921 nucleotides. RefSeq lists it as uncharacterized. The record is from RefSeq and is a predicted model, not a curated record. NCBI's taxonomy places the organism in Eukaryota, Metazoa, Chordata, Aves, Psittaciformes, Psittacidae. The transcript is spliced from 2 exons.